AAUUCCACCUCACCACCAACUUUUCCAACUUUACAAUUUCAACCCCAACCUUUAUAAUAAUUCACUUUAACCCAAUACAUCAAACUUAAUAAAUUCACCCACAAGUUUCUAAUAAUACACUUCAACCCACUCCAUCAUCCACCACUAUAUAUAUAAAAAUAAUAUCUAGGUUUACAAAAAUAUUAAAAAAAAUAAAUCAAAAAGCUAAAAUAGAAAGUGGUUAUUUUUUCCACCAAAAAGCUCCGAUUUCGGUCACUUUUUCGGCGUUAUUUUCCGACGAUCAGCUGUAAUUUAGUCCACAAACAUCAUAAGCUUUUCCAUUGCAUCCAUUGUUACCUCAUUUGUUUCCUAUCAUCUCAAACACACUUUCCACCAUUGUUAAAAAGCUUUAAAUCACACGCAUUACUCAAAACCACUUUAGAAAGUGCAUUACAGCAGCUCAGGCGACUCCAAGUUCAUUUCUUUAUUCCAUAAACCCAACAAUCAUUGAUUACAAGAAAUAUUUGCAAUUUCAAGUAUUUAUACGGAAAUCUGCACAGUCAUCGACCCAUCCUCGCCAGUCAUUGACCGUGCAUACAACACGACAUAGACCAUAAUCAUAAUCUACCAUCAACCGAAGC
RNAcentral lists this long non-coding RNA (620 nucleotides) under Capsicum annuum. RNAcentral describes it as "long non-coding RNA (CANN_LNC020748)". The record is from RNAcentral. Lineage: Eukaryota; Viridiplantae; Streptophyta; Magnoliopsida; Solanales; Solanaceae.